This 235-nucleotide ribosomal RNA is filed under the name uncultured bacterium. RNAcentral describes it as "partial 16S ribosomal RNA". It matches the Rfam family "Bacterial small subunit ribosomal RNA", at positions 1267 to 1500 of the family's 1533-position model. The record is from RNAcentral.
GCAAAUCUCGAAAAGACCGUCCCAGUUCGGAUUGCAGGCUGCAACCCGCCCUGCAUGAAGUUGGAAUCGCUAGUAAUCGCGGAUCAGCAUGCCGCGGUGAAUACGUUCCCGGGCCUUGUACACACCGCCCGUCACACCAUGAGAGUCGGGAACACCCGAAGUCCGUAGUCUGACCGCAAGGGGGACGCGGCCGAAGGUGGGUUCGAUAAUUGGGGUGAAGUCGUAACAAGGUACC